UCCCUGGUGGCUCAGCUGGUAAAGAAUCUGCCUACAAUGCAGCAGACCUGGGUUCAAUUCCUGGGCUGGGAA
Molecule: transfer RNA, 72 nt
Filed under: Capra hircus (goat)
Lineage: Eukaryota; Metazoa; Chordata; Mammalia; Artiodactyla; Bovidae
Also listed under: 1 other name
Rfam family: tRNA
About the family: Transfer RNA (tRNA) molecules are approximately 80 nucleotides in length. Their secondary structure includes four short double-helical elements and three loops (D, anti-codon, and T loops).
Source: Rfam by way of RNAcentral